Molecule: long non-coding RNA, 4740 nt
Organism: Pseudopipra pipra
Lineage: Eukaryota; Metazoa; Chordata; Aves; Passeriformes; Pipridae
Exons: 3
Source: RefSeq, a predicted model, not a curated record
AAGGAAAAUAGGAUUUCAUGUUUGAGGAUGUGAAGUGCUAUCGUGAUAUCCAGCAGGUUGGUUUAAUGUGGAGCCACUUUCUGUUGAUGGGCAAGAAUACACUGCUGUUUGUUAUUCUUAGGUUUUGACAAUAUUCUCUUACCGUGAGGAAUGAUCACUGCCAAGAAGAGAUGAAGACAUGGCUUAGCUACAAAGAGGAAGUACAAAAGGCUGACAAUCCAGGAAACGUACACUGCAAAAAAAUCACACAGGGGAGGGAUUCUCCUGAGCUGUGUGACUGCUGGGUGCCCAAAGGCAGGCUAGUGAUUUCCUUAAAAGGCACCCACAUAGAUUUUGUUUCCCUGCAGUGCAUGCACAUGACCCCAUGGUAUUUCUGGCAAGUCCCCAUCACGUGCCUGCCAGCAGCUGCCUGUGUGAAACAUGACGAGCCUGAAGUUUUCCUGAGGCACAAGCCUACAGAUAUUGAGGUGAUGGUCAGGAGCAUCAUUCCAGAAGCCCAUCUUAAUCAGGGCUAGACUCAGAGCUGGCAUUUCUCUCCUCUCCCAAAAUCACCAGAUGAAUUUGCAGGUGCGGUCAGACCAGCUGGCAUUGCCUGGCACAAGGCAGAGGGCGGGAAGGAAAAAGGACCCGGUGCUGCCGGGUAACGGCACAGCAGGUAUCUCGUCUCCUCCCACUGCUGCCAGAGAGGAUAGGAAACCUGCUGAUUUUGCCUGCUUGAAUAUUGCCCCUAUGCAGGCUGGAUGCUGCAUAUCACCUGCCAGGUGCUGUUGAUGCUCCUGGGCAGAAGGCAGAGCCGAUGCCUGCUGCUUGCCUCUCCCAGUCCCUGCAGGACUUUGGACGCUCCUUUUUAUGAUGAUAUAACGGAUGACAUGUUUUUAUACCCCUCUACCCCUGCAACUGGAAGGGGACUAACAGUAGUAGGAGCCCAGGAGGAGGCAGGACUGCCAGGGUAGCAGUGCCAUGGGUGUAUGAGAAGUACCAUGCAGAAGAAUCUAGAGCAGCCAGCACUGCUGCCAGUGCCAGAUUGCACAAGUCAUAAUGUGGGAGCCUCACAUCAGCACAGGGGCUGAAACAAAAGGACACCCUGUGAAACUGGAAGUUGUCAGAGGCUGAUGUUCAACUGGGCAGUGGGAUCAAUAGAGGAGAUCUUGAGAAAUGUGUGCUGCAAUCUCUAAUAUUUCAUCCCUUAUCGGGUUUGAGCCAGCGUGUUUUGUGGCACAGUUAAUGCCGUGAGGCAAUGUGCUUUCAGUGAUAGUGUGUUUUAGUCCGGUGACCUCGUUUUUGUUAAAUGUCUUGUCUUGGAUCUUUUGCUAUUGCUAAUGUGUGUUGCUACAAUACCAAGAAGAUGCCAAUUAGAAAACCAGUGCAGUCAUUUCACACGGCUUUCCCCAGCUCUUUUCCUAGGAUUCUCCAACCUUUAAAAACAAAUACAAAUAAGCUUAAAUACUUCAUCCCUGGGGCAGUGGAUCUUUUCAAGAUUACCUGUCCUGCAGGAGCCAGUGUCUGCGCUACAUGAGUUCAGUGUCACUUUGGGAGGGUCCAGAAGAGCUGGCAUUCACCUCUUCAUUCACUGUGCUGGCAUACAGAGGUGGUUGGGCAGGAUGAACUGUGCCCUGGGGACAAAUCAGUGACCCUUGGCUCAAAGUGGCCUUCACAUCUGUCAGGUCCCCUGCUAUAGGUAAGAGGCCAUGGUAGGGCUGGAGGUGGCACAGUUGCCUGGAAUGGAAGCCCUGGCCACAGAGAAGGGUUCCCCAGGUGCACAUCUCUUUCUGGGUAUCAUGAAAUGAGUUUUUGGCACUGGCCCCUUGCUGUCUUAAUGCAUAGAGCUUCUGUACUGAGAAUAGGGACUAUAUUCACUGCUGCUCUUUCUCUCACCACUUCCCUCAGCAGUCCCUCCUGUCUUUGGAAAGUUUUUUUACCCCCCUGAUAUUUAGCUAUAUUUCCCCCUUGCAUUUCACAUCCAUCACUGUUUUUUGCUUCACUCUUUUUUUCACUUUGUCUUGUUCGGAGCCUUUCUGCAUGGACAGAGGGGCAGAGCUUGCAUCUUCCCUCUUCCUUGCCUAGGGCAUGGUUUACAUCUUACUUUUCUUUCAGUUUCUGAGUGAAUUUACUGCCAAGCAAUAGUGGGUGAAAACUCACAGCCCAAGAGCAGUUAUGUAUAGCUCAGUAUCAAACUGUCGUAAAUUUACUUGCUUUCAGAGUUUUCAUUAAGAAGGUGAUGAUAGAGCAGUGAACACACUCAUUGUGGGAGCUCAGGGUCAGAAGUUGUUGCAACCCCCUUCUCAGGAGGAAAGAUAAGCAUAAGCUGAAACACCCAAGCUGCAAUCAGUGGCAGAACACCACUCCAGGAAGCAUCACACCUCAUCAGAGGGUGUUGGCUUUCUAAGGCACCUCAAGUGCUCUGCCAGUGUAAUUAGUAGUGAUCUGAAUCAGACAUCACUAUCUACACGUCUGUCUACAAUGGUGACGUUUCCUCAUACAUCUGCAGUCAACAGCAAUUUUGAGGUGGAUACACUCCCUAGCCCACAAUAAUCACCUGCCUUGUGCUCGUUGUCACUCUGCACAGGAGUGUUUGUCCCAGAUAGAUCCUUUUGUUGUCCCCACAUUGCUCCUAGAUCCCAGGCUUGCUGGGGGAAGUGACACAAAAGUGAAGGAUAAAGCUGGAGGGAAAGGUGUUUUGUUUAGCUGCAACGAGUCAGGCGUUGCCUCUACCAAAGAAAAGAACAGGUUUUGAUCCUGCUGUUUUUAUUUGUUUUAAAGGAAAAAGUGGGCAGUUUAUUGGGUGCAACACACUCACUUCACUCUCAGCUCCCGUGACUAGGUAAACACUUCCCAGUCAAACCCUUACAUCUCCCAUAAAAAAAAAAAAAGCUGGAAAAUUGGGAAUAUAGUGUUGUUCUGUCAUCAAAAAACACUAAUAACAUGCAGCAUGAACUCUGCCUUUUCUCUGACUAUCCUGUAAAGUGCUGUGGCUUAGACAUAGCAACAGUCGGUCAGGUCCAGACACUGCCUCUCGCUCCGAGCGGCCAGGCUGAGGUCAUGUCUCAGUUCAUUUUAUUUUAUUAAUUUGUUUUUUAAUUAUUUGCUUUCACAAAAGGCUUGUAACGCGUGAUGGAAGGAGGGGGAAAAUUCACCACUGGAGCUUUGUCGCUCCUUGUGUGCUGCCUGCAGGAGCCGUUCAGAAGCCAGGAAGGGGCCACAAGGGUGCAGGAGCCCCUCGCCUCUGCAGUGUCAGACAGGGACAGUCCGCAGGCCUCCUGAGGCCCAUGGGAGCAUGUAGGUGGGAAAGGUAGAGCAGGGAGAUGUGGGGAGGAGAUGCUGGCAGGAGACAGAGAGGAGGGUUGGGAGCCUUCCUUUCCCAGAAGGGAGCUGUGGAGAUGCAGGCACUGUGGAGCCAGCAGUUGGGGCAGGACAAGGGGUGUGGGUGAUAGAGAGGGAGACGCAGACCGGUGAUACCUGUUUGUGCUACUUCACCUGUGACUGCCCGUGCAACUCUUCAGACUUACCUUUGUGCUUCAUUUUUUUAAUCAACCUCCAAGAUCUCAAUGUAAACUUGCUUGUCUUACCCUGGCUACGUCCAGUCCUCCUGUCUAUACCCUCUGUGCCAGCCAUGCUCUGUCUCCUUCCCCAGAAAGCUCACUUCCCUCUGCAAGGCUCUUAUGGUUGUUCACAGUAGAAGUGACCACUGGCUUCAUCCAGGCUGCCUUUCCCCAUCUCACUUGUGUUGGAUGAAGUGUGGGCACCUGCACACAGCAGUGUGAUUUAGUUCAGCCUCUGAUAUUGUCACACUUUCAGGAUGAUGUUUGUCCACAUUGCAGGAGGUGGAUCAACAUGUGCAAGGUAUCCUGCAGAGCUUCCCAAGCUUUGGACAGUUGAAUGGUUUAGUAGAAUGCGGAAUAUGACAAUCCUGUCCUUGGGUGGGAUGAGAUUCCAUUCUCUGUGACUUGUUCUCAAUAUGGACUGUAGUUACCUGCAGUGGUGGUAGAUCGGAUUUCUUCAAGUACCUCCUGUCUUGCGUUUCAGUUGCUUUGGCAACUCAUCAUGACGAUACACCACUAUGGAUGGGCCAUGCAGACAGCAUCCCAAGGAAUUUCUCAGAUGUAGUCUCUCUUGGGACAGGGGAUGCGGAUGUCUGGGCACUGGGAAAAGGCAGUUAGGAGGAAGAUGGUGAUGUCCUUUGUGUGAGUCAUGAAGGCUUCCAGCUCUGUUCAAACCCCCAGGAACCACGCCAGAGGUGACAGACUUGGGCUCCUGGCCACCAGCUGGAACCUGGCCUCACCUUUUCACACCAUGGAACAUCAUUCGCAGGCGAGACCACAAUGGGUGACCGGCUGAUGGUCACCUGCAGACCUAUGGGCACCUGGCCCCAUAUGGAGAUAGUGCCAACAGAGAGCUGAGACACCAACUUUCUGUGCAGAAGGAACUGACCUGCUACAGUGUCCUGAGCUGUAGCUUUCUCCAACAAAAUCACAGGAAAUCACUUUUCUCUACCAAACAUGACACCGGGAGAUGCGAUGUUGGUAGGCAUGCUGCCCAGCUCCCAGCUCCCAGAGUUCCUGGCCACCAGGAUGACUGCCAUGAUGGUGAUAAUCCACCUUGCCUCAUGAGAGUGGCUCAGAUUACAGCCAGAGAAAAGACAUUAUUGGCUGCUCCGCUGGUCUCCAAGCCCAAAACUUGUUACCUGCUAGGUACUCCUAUGUGACUCAUGACCACAAAAAUAAUAAAAAAACUAAUGGGUAA